This is a long non-coding RNA of Megalops cyprinoides (Indo-Pacific tarpon), 1033 nucleotides long. RefSeq lists it as uncharacterized. NCBI's taxonomy places the organism in Eukaryota, Metazoa, Chordata, Actinopteri, Elopiformes, Megalopidae. The transcript is spliced from 2 exons. The record is from RefSeq and is a predicted model, not a curated record.
CCUGACAGGACAUGUCCGCAGGCACUUCCACUGUGUAAUUCUGAAGAAUGACAAAGAGGAGUCCAAUAAAUCUGCUUCUGUUCUUCCUGGGUUUGUGCCGCCUCUAAACAGGCAAUAGCGUCCCUCCCCUCCUCCCUGGACCCCCGAACAACUUGGAGAAUAGCUAGGACCUACGCUUCUGUCUCCUAGCGUGUGAAUGUGUGCGUACAUGUUUGUGGGACAGGGUCAUUGGAUAACCGUCUCAGAGGAGUGGGAGCAUCCUAACAGGUGGGCUUUGGAGAGAGAGUGGAGGCGGACCAUCGAAGCGCACCAGUGCACUUCCAGCCACUCGCCGGCAGCUGCUCAGUUCUAGACAUGACUAACAGAUAUUUCACUGCUGAAGCAGAUGGUGAGAUAAGUGGUAAAGUCCUGAGAAAGACUGGUCUAUUGAGGAAGCCUGUCGUCCUGUUGGUCUGCCAUUCAGAUUGGAUGAAGAAAUCCAGGCAUACUGAACAAGCACAUUGAUCUUCCACUGAUAAAUGAUACUCAAUAACCUGAAGGCUUUUUUAUUAAUUAGUUUUUUAAGCUUUUUCUGUCAAUAAAAAAUAGGGGAGUAAAAUCAUGAUGGAACCUGAUGUUGAUGAAGGUAUUAUUUUUUUGUGAUGCUCUGAUUUUUUUUUUCAAGAUGCAUCCAAGAUAUAACAUUUUUCCUAACUGCAAAUGAUGACCACCUAAAGCUGGAGUAAAAUAAAUGAAAAUGUUUACAAUACUUAAAACACGUUCAUUUACCACUGACACCUCCCAUUCAAUUGGUCAAUGUUAAUUAAUAAUGAUAUGUUUUUAUUUUUGAUUUAUGUAAGUCUGUAUGUAUGUAUUUAUACACAUAAUACAUACUCCCAAACAGCAUAUAAUAUGUUUAAUGUGCAUUUUACUUGUGUUCAUUUGUUUUGUUUGUCUGUUUUGUUUUGUUUUAAUUAUUCUGGAAGGUGAAGUCAGCCACUGUGAAAUCAUUCAUUUUUCCCUUUCAAUAACAAAAUUAAAGACUAGAAGAGUC